Molecule: long non-coding RNA, 1072 nt
Organism: Erigeron canadensis
Lineage: Eukaryota; Viridiplantae; Streptophyta; Magnoliopsida; Asterales; Asteraceae
Exons: 3
Source: RefSeq, a predicted model, not a curated record
UGCCAGAGACCAUCAGAUCUCUCUCUCUCUCUCUUUUUUUUGUCUUUUAACUGGUUACUGAUCCUUUUUAAUGUGAGGUCCUUGUAAGAGUGCAUGCACGCGAAAGUAUUGACAGGUUGGUAGUUGUUGAAUGCAAAGCCUCUUUGCUAUCAGUUUAGCAGUCUUUUCGUAAUGAUGGUCCAGAAAUUGGAUGAUGGGGAACACGGUAUUGCUUGAAAAGUACUUUCCACACAUAGAAUCGGCUGGUUGAUUUUUCUUUAUUACAUUUAGUUUUUUUCAUGUUUCUGUUCCUUCCAUCAUAAUAUUAGCCUUUAUAGCAAAUGUACAGGCCUUUUGUACUCAUUGAAGCUGUAUGAAGAAUUGGUGACGUGAUGGUCGUGAUCUCAACAGUCGUGACAUAGUUUAAGGCAUUUCUAGCAAUGCUCUUUCAGCAAAACAUGGAUUCGGUUUCCUUUAAUCAGCAGCAAAAGCCUCAGUUCACUGGUCAACCAUACAAUUCCGACCGCCACAUUCACCGGUCAGCAAAUCACCUCCGGCAGCCGCAGCUCACUAGUCAUCCGCCUCCGCGUCCGCCACUGCCUCUUUAUCAAUCUCUACAGUGUAUUUUGCCACUGUUGUGUUUGAUGAUAAAGAAUGUGCGUAAAUUAUCUAUUAGGGAUGUACAACGGCUUAUUGAAGAGCUUCCACAUUAACAAAAAUGCUGUGAGCAGAGCAAUUCUCAACAAGGUAUAUUAAUCAUUCAGUUUAAUUCAAGUAGAUCGACUCGUUAACAACCUUAGAUGCGGUGGCCCUAGCCCCUAGGUCUUCCAAAUUUUCAACGGCCGUUGGCAGUGUACUGAUGUAACACACGAAAAUCCACAUAUAUAGUUAAGCCACUAUAAGGCUUUGUGCCUUGUCACACAAGUUGUGUGCCACAACUUGCAAAGGAAGGGCUGUGAUUCCUAUAUAUUUUCUUCUUCAUUAAUAUUAUCUAUUGUGUUUAUCCUAUUAUAAUAACAUAUUUGUCAUUUUAUGUAAUGAUAUUUUAAGUAAUAACAAUAUUACUGGUUAUGGCAAUACCAUAAAACAUAAA